AUACGAAGGGGGCAAGCGUUGUUCGGAAUAACUGGGCGUAAAGCGCACGUAGGCGGAAUGUUAAGUUAGAGGUGAAAUCCCAGGGCUCAACCCUGGAACGGCCUUUAAUACUGGCAAUCUAGAGACCGAGAGAGGUGAGUGGAAUUCCGAGUGUAGAGGUGAAAUUCGUAGAUAUUAGGAGGAACACCAGUGGCGAAGGCGGCUCACUGGCUCGGUACUGACGCUGAGGUGCGAAAGCGUGGGGAGCAAACAGGAUUAGAAACCCUAGUAGUCC
RNAcentral lists this ribosomal RNA (274 nucleotides) under uncultured bacterium. Its description in RNAcentral is "partial 16S ribosomal RNA". It matches the Rfam family "Bacterial small subunit ribosomal RNA", at positions 523 to 796 of the family's 1533-position model. The record is from RNAcentral.